RNAcentral lists this unclassified non-coding RNA (479 nucleotides) under Hevea brasiliensis (rubber tree). Lineage: Eukaryota; Viridiplantae; Streptophyta; Magnoliopsida; Malpighiales; Euphorbiaceae. The record is from RNAcentral.
GGAAUUCGAUAGCUUUAGGCUAUGGUGUUUGGUGGUUUCGGGCUUAUUGCAGAUUGUAUCGUUGCGAUCAAACGUGCAGAUGUACUUGAAUGAAGCAGUAUUGUGUUGGUAUCAGAGACUGCAUGCAAGCAAAGUUCCUGACUUAGCUUAUAGUAGGGCCAAGGUGUUCCUGCACAAUCACUUUGUAUGCCUUGUGGUUCUGCAGUUUUUUUUGCCUGCAUCAAUGGUACUUAUCUUCCUUGGCUUGUCUCAACUUGGUGGCGAUUUGCUUACCAAUUACGAAGGGGUAUGUAGCGUAUUGCCUUGUUCUCUGCUAGACAAAGAGGUGGCUUUGUUUAUGGCCUGGUGGGUUCUCUUUGUUUGGACAAUAUAUAGUUCAGUCACCCUUGCUCUAUUUAGACAGGGAAUCUUGUGUGUAUCUUGAUCUAUUGUUUACACGACUCACCAUCAGGAAGCCGAGGUCUCUCAUUUUAUGAGCU